RNAcentral lists this long non-coding RNA (220 nucleotides) under Felis catus (domestic cat). Its description in RNAcentral is "lncRNA (ENSFCAG00000047741.1)". Lineage: Eukaryota; Metazoa; Chordata; Mammalia; Carnivora; Felidae. The record is from RNAcentral.
AGAACAACUUGACAUCUCCUUGGAAGUGGGACAAGAGUAUCUACAAGCUGACAAAGAAAAAGAAAAAGAUGUGAUCUCCAUGUCUUAUCCAUUCUCUCCUCAUCACACGACAUUGUGAUGGUGCCCAUUUAACAGAGCCUGGGGAAAAUACUUUUGUUGGAUCCAUGACAUUGAUAAUCUGUGGUGCUGGAGACGGCUCUUCCUUCAAGUGACCAUGGCU